RNAcentral lists this long non-coding RNA (1251 nucleotides) under Sus scrofa (pig). RNAcentral's name for it is "lncRNA (ENSSSCG00015066824.1)". The record is from RNAcentral. Lineage: Eukaryota; Metazoa; Chordata; Mammalia; Artiodactyla; Suidae.
GCCCCAAGACUGGCUGCUGGAUCAGUGAGAGCGCUAGAGAGGUGAUUUGAGAUUUGGGAAUAGGGGUAUGAUUAUAAUUACAAAGCGAAGCACAUGUCUGAGACCAGUACAACCCAAAAGGCUCGUAACGAGUGUCCAACAGCAUUUCACACAGAACCUGAGCUUGUCUGGGAUUCAGGGAGGGCUCCCUGGAGGAAGUGACAUCAGAGCCAGGGCCUGAACAGGCAGGCUAUAAGAAUUAUCCAAAAGAAGCAGGGAGGCAAGAAGAGUGGCUCUGUUGAAGCAAAUGCACAGGAAGAGCAAAGAGUUUUCUUCAGGUUGAAGAAAAGUCGGUGUGUCUGUGGGCUCCUGGGUCAAUAUGGUGCCAGAGGUGGAUUGAGGGGGACCGAACUUGAUCUUGAGGGCAGGGAGAGCCAGAAGAAGGUUGUCAGGGAGUGAUAUACCCCUUAUGGCCCCCAAAGCGCCCUCUGGCUGCUGUGUGAAGAAGGUUCUCAAAGGGGAGCAGAGUGGAGAAGCCAUGGUUUGGUUAAUGCUCCAGUUCUGAGGGUGGACAGGCCAGGUGUGUGUCCUGAGUCAGCAUUCCUGGUCUUUGGGCAAGUUACCUAGCCUCUCUAUGCCCUAGCUUUCCCAUCUAUGAAAUGGGUAGGACGGUAGUGCCCAUCUCAAGCAGUUGUCAUCAAGAUUGAAUGAGAUAACCUAGCAAAGUUUGGGGGGGCUGGAAGUUGAGGGGGCAGCAGCGAUGACCCCACCAUCAAGCGGACUCCUAGGAGGAGGAAGGAGGUGCUCCUCGUGGAGUUCACGUGGCUGUGGCCAGAGUGCCCACGACCUCUGUCUGGCCAGAUUUCCGUGGUGUCCUCCCCUCCAUCCUCUGCCAUGUUCACCGGAAGGACGUCUACACUUCCAACUCAUGGGUACCAGAUUCAGAACUUGCCAAGGGGAGGUCCCGUCAUGGCCCAGCGGAGACGAAUCUGACCAGGAACCAUGAGGCUGCGGGUUCGAUCCCUGGCCUCUCUCAGUUAAGGAUCCAGCGUUGUCAUAACUGUGGCAGAUUCCACUCGGAUCCAGCGUUGCUGUGGCUGUGGCGUAGGCUGGCAGCUGUAGCUCCGAUUAGACCCCUAGCCUGGGAACCUCCACAUGCCGCAGAUGCGGCCCUAAAAAAAAGAACUUGUCACGGCUCUCCUGGGGCUCAGGGUCACCAUUCCCCUUGGUUCAAGACCAAAGCCUCCAGCCUCCUGCUACCCUUAGGCCCAC